AACGCACAUUGCGCUCCCUGGUAUUCCGGGGAGCAUGCCCGUUUCAGAAUCAUUAAAAUCUCACAAACCUCGUUUUCUUUGGAGAUCGGGAUGCGUGGAUUUGGGAGCUUUUGCGGCUUUGUCUGCGAUGCACCUGUAAAUGAUUGUGACGUGCGCCAAUUGUCGUGUCAACUGGUCGUCCGAAGCGCAACAGAUUCAUCUAUUCGUUUUGGACGACUGCUGGCUGAUUUGGAGGCACGGUGCUCAAAUUGUCAACCGAGGUCCUGCGACUUUGCAGGACUUGCUGAUAACUUGGUCUGAAAUCGGGCAAGAAAACCCGCUGAACUUAA
RNAcentral lists this unclassified non-coding RNA (329 nucleotides) under uncultured Spizellomycetales. Its description in RNAcentral is "sequence contains 5.8S rRNA gene, ITS2, 28S rRNA gene". The record is from RNAcentral. Lineage: Eukaryota; Fungi; Chytridiomycota; Chytridiomycetes; Spizellomycetales.